This 253-nucleotide ribosomal RNA is filed under the name uncultured bacterium. Its description in RNAcentral is "partial 16S ribosomal RNA". It matches the Rfam family "Bacterial small subunit ribosomal RNA", at positions 524 to 776 of the family's 1533-position model. The record is from RNAcentral.
GACGAAGGGGGCUAGCGUUGUUCGGAAUUACUGGGCGUAAAGCGCGUGUAGGCGGUUGUCAUAGUCAGGUGUGAAAGCCUUGAGCUUAACUCAAGAAAUGCACUUGAUACUGGGCGACUAGAGGACCGGAGAGGACAGUGGAAUUCCCAGUGUAGUGGUGAAAUACGUAGAGAUUGGGAAGAACACCAGUGGCGAAGGCGGCUAUCUGGACGGUUUCUGACGCUAAGACGCGAAAGCGUGGGGAGCAAACAGG